UUUUCAUGAUAAAUUUUUGAAAUGUAAAAGCUAGAGACUGCAUAGUAUUUCCUUCCUUACCAUGUAUAUUCUUUGUAAUCAUUGGUGUCAUGCCUAACAAAACCUGUAGGAAGCAAACUCCAAUUACACUCAUUAGUAAUGAGUGAAUUAUUAUUAUUAUUAUCAUACUAACUGAGGUUUACACAUAUAUGCAGUUGGUGGUGAUGAUAAGGAUGAUGAUGAGGAUGAACGUUAUAAAUUUUAUGAAUUUUUAUAAGGUAGAUGGUUCAAUCCUAUUAUGGCAUCCCAUUUGUGAUAACAAUUUAGGUCUCUAGAAGAUGACACUCAUGUCUUACUUAUACUUUGACUGGCUACUAAAUAGUGAAGAUUUUCUUAGCUUGAAUUUCAGUUGAGGCUAUUGCUACUAGAUGUGCAUAAGCAUUUCUGUCGAUAUGACUUUUUUUUUAGUUGAAAAUCCUUGUAUGUUGUAUUGAAUUUGUAAAUGGUUUCAGUUAUAAUGAUUUGGAAACGUAUUCAAGUGACA
This is a long non-coding RNA of Quercus robur (English oak), 523 nucleotides long. RefSeq lists it as uncharacterized. NCBI's taxonomy places the organism in Eukaryota, Viridiplantae, Streptophyta, Magnoliopsida, Fagales, Fagaceae. The record is from RefSeq and is a predicted model, not a curated record. The transcript is spliced from 2 exons.